CUUGACUCUAGUCUGGCACUGUAAGGAGACAUGAGAGGUGUAGCAUAAGUGGGAGACUCCUUUGGGGUCGCCGGUGAAAUACCACUACUUUCAUCGUUUCUUUACUUACUCGGUUAGGCGGAAGGCGUGCGCCGUUCCUUGUGUUCGGCGUACGGUAUUCUUGAACCAAGUUUGGCAAGCUUGUCUUACCGGACGAUCCGAUCCGAGGACACUGUCAGGCUGGGAGUUUGACUGGGGCGGUACAUCUGUCAAAGAAUAACGCAGGUGUCCUAAGGCCAGCUCAGCGAGGACAGAAACCUCGCGUAGAGCAAAAGGGCAAAAGCUGGCUUGAUCCCGAUGUUCAGUAAGCAUAGGGACUGCGAAAGCAAGGCCUAUCGAUCCUUUUGGCUUGGAGAGUUUCCAGCAAGAGGUGUCAGAAAAGUUACCACAGGGA
This 433-nucleotide ribosomal RNA is filed under the name Ctenolepisma longicaudatum (long-tailed silverfish). RNAcentral's name for it is "Ctenolepisma longicaudata (long-tailed silverfish) partial 28S ribosomal RNA". It matches the Rfam family "Eukaryotic large subunit ribosomal RNA", at positions 2421 to 2826 of the family's 3401-position model. The record is from RNAcentral. Lineage: Eukaryota; Metazoa; Arthropoda; Insecta; Zygentoma; Lepismatidae.